CACGUAGGGGGCAAGCGUUGUCCGGAUUUACUGGGCGUAAAGAGCGUGUAGGCGGCCAAACAGGUCCGUUGUGAAAACUGGAGGCUCAACUUCCAGACGUCGACGGAAACCGUGUGGCUAGAGUCCGGAAGAGGAGAGUGGAAUUCCUGGUGUAGCGGUGAAAUGCGCAGAUAUCAGGAAGAACACCAAUGGCGAAGGCAGCUCUCUGGGACGGUACUGACGCUGAGACGCGAAAGCGUGGGGAGCGAACAGG
This 253-nucleotide ribosomal RNA is filed under the name uncultured bacterium. Its description in RNAcentral is "partial 16S ribosomal RNA". It matches the Rfam family "Bacterial small subunit ribosomal RNA", at positions 524 to 776 of the family's 1533-position model. The record is from RNAcentral.